Molecule: long non-coding RNA, 1401 nt
Organism: Syngnathus acus (greater pipefish)
Lineage: Eukaryota; Metazoa; Chordata; Actinopteri; Syngnathiformes; Syngnathidae
Exons: 2
Source: RefSeq, a predicted model, not a curated record
CUCUGAGUCAGACAACAGAGACAGGAGAGAAUUUGAGCUCCGGAGUUUAAUGCCAAGUGGCGCCCACUGAGAAGACCCAACACUGAGGCUGGCAGCUGCUGCAGCGACGAAGAAAAAAGAUGCCGAAUGAAAGCAAGAGAAGGUUGGACGCCGAGCGAGGGACUGUGAGGGGGGGAAAGGGUAGGGAGGAAGAAGAGGAGCAGGAGGAGGAGGUCAGUGCGGGGUAUCCCAGCAGAUGCGACGGAAUGGUGGUGAGGAUGAAAAGCGGGAGAGCCGGGCGACGCCGCAGGUGCGACGAGGCCAACGGCGGGAUGAGCUGCCACGGCGGCCAUGCUAAAAUAUAAGCGGGCUGGAUGGAGGAAAGGAUGGAGGAGAGGAUGGCGGGGUGUAAGAACCCUACGUGGAGGUUGAGAGAAAGUGACGAUGACGAUGAUGAUGUUUUAGGUGAAGGUGAAGAUGCGGCAGAUGGACACCCGAGAAACAAAAGUCAAGCAACGGCACUUACGAGACCCUCUCCUGUCAUCCUCGUCGCCGCUGUGGUCCAGCAUCUCCACGCUACCCGCCCUUCUCAGGGAGUACAGCAGGACGUUAUCUAACGGGUUUUCCCGGUCCUGGGAGAACCAGAACAAUAGCCCAAGUCUCAUUUAAAUAAACAAUCACGAGAGUUUUCACUUGUAAAAUAGGAGCUGUCUUGCUGUCCCUCACCAGUCUGUCAAUGACGUUCUGGAUAGUGUGGUACCAUUCCUUGAUCAGAGAGUCCGUCUCCGACUGUAGCAGGAAUUCGUUGCCCGUCACGGUCCUUAGCUGGAACACACACAUUUGCAAACACAAUGUAGUACUUUUUGUGCAUGCAUGUGUGUGUGUGUGCAUGCUUGUGUGUGCGAAAAAGGAAUAUUUAUAGUCCUCCCUAUUUGUUGCUGACCUUGAACACGUUCUUCUUGCUGGACAGCUCAUUGGCCCAGUGUAGUUUGGCUCCUCUUAGGUCAACGCUACUUUCCGGGCGACUGUUUCCUGGUUUCUAUAAUAAUCAUCAAAGAUCAUUAUUUAAUAUUCUGCAAUAUUUUUUUUUUUUUGUAUAGCAGAAAGAAAAUAUGAGUAUUGUCUGUCUACAUGGGUUACUCCACCAUUUGUGCUCAAGUAUGCAUAUCUUCAAAAUUGCUAACCAUUAACAUGUAAGCUAAAUGGCAUUUUAUGUUGUCUGUUAGCAAUAAUUAAAAGUCUUUUUGUCAGGUCUUACCCAGCUGGAAGGCGUCUGCGAUUUGGGAUCUUUGAAGAAAACCAAACUGUUGCCGACCAACACCACCCAGGAUGGACUCCAGUUUUUUCUACAUCACAAGAUUAUUUGUUUAUUAAAAUGGUGAUGGCUAAUACUAAAACAAUGAGAUAGAUGAUCGUUUGAAA